CCUACGGGAGGCAGCAGUGAGGAAUAUUGGUCAAUGGGCUUACGCCUGAACCAGCCAAGUCGCGUGAGGGAUGACUGCCCUAUGGGUUGUAAACCUCUUUUGUCAGGGAGCAACGCCGGCUACGUGUAGCCGGUCUGAGAGUACCUGAAGAAAAAGCAUCGGCUAACUCCGUGCCAGCAGCCGCGGUAAUACGGAGGAUGCGAGUGUUAUCCGGAUUUAUUGGGUUUAAAGGGUGCGUAGGCGGAAUGCCAAGUCAGCGGUAAAAUCGCGGGGCUCAACCUCGCUCCGCCGUUGAAACUGGCGUUCUUGAGUGGGCGAGAAGUAUGCGGAAUGCGUGGUGUAGCGGUGAAAUGCAUAGAUAUCACGCAGAACUCCGAUUGCGAAGGCAGCAUACCGGCGCCCAACUGACGCUGAAGCACGAAAGCGUGGGUAUCGAACAGGAUUAGAUACCCUAGUAGUC
Molecule: ribosomal RNA, 460 nt
Filed under: uncultured bacterium
Lineage: Bacteria
Description: partial 16S ribosomal RNA
Rfam family: Bacterial small subunit ribosomal RNA
Source: RNAcentral